GUUUGAAAAAUAGACCAAAAAAACUAAAAUGACUAAAAUAGCAUUUUUUAUUUUGAAAAUUUUAAUUUUAUUUUAUUUUUUUAAAUUUGAAAUCCUUUCCCCAAAACUUAACUGCUCAACUCUAAACCAUAAACCUUAAACUCUAAACUCCAUCUCUUAACUCUAAACCCUAAACUCUAAACUCUUAACCCUAAACCCUAAAUCCUAAACCCUAAAUCC
RNAcentral lists this long non-coding RNA (219 nucleotides) under Brassica napus (rape). RNAcentral describes it as "long non-coding RNA (BNAP_LNC014145)". The record is from RNAcentral. Lineage: Eukaryota; Viridiplantae; Streptophyta; Magnoliopsida; Brassicales; Brassicaceae.